CCGAUAACGAUCAAUUCCCAGGGAGCCGGGCCAUAAGACAAGGUGCCCACCAAAGUGAAGCUGGAGCCAGGAUACUUCGAUCCCUCACCGAACCAAAACUUGCUCGUCACCUGUACACCUCCGGUUGGAAGUCCUCCGAUGGUGGUCAGUGCUCCGGAUCCCGUGAUUCUGCCCAAUAGCUUGCUGUCCGCAGCCGCUCCUUCCUUCAACCUGUUGUCAAACACCAUGAAACUACCCCAUCCAAGCGCGCUGAAGUUGCCUUGCCCCGUUCCGGCAGCAGGCAAGAGAGUCGCAUUCGGUCCUCCACGGGUCUCGUGUGCGUAGAAUGUCAAUUUCAACGUCUCUGGCCCGGCUGCCCACCCACACCAAUCGACGGUGAGGAUAUUAACCACAAUAAACAUUUCGCAAUCCAACUCAAAGAAAAUGGCUGGAUGCAUACCACAAUACUAAACCUUGACAUGGGGGAGCGAUGAAUAGGUAAUUACCCCCAGCAACCAGCAACUGCAAGCUGCAUAUGCAAAGCACCACCGUCAAGGUGUACGCCGCUGCGGAGAUCGCCAUCGCUGCUCAACCUGUUACCCCCACAAAUCCACCGUACCACCACAUCGGUCAAUUCUGUCACCGCAUUUUGGUCAUGAAUACAAUCGAAUGGACUAUCGACAGUGCCGAUGAUCAAUCGUCAAAUAGCACCUCAAAAAUCUGUGAUACCUCCGACAACUCUAUCUAAGGACGCACUUCCAUCAUGUUUCAUGUUACUCGUGACUGAAGGAAUUGAAGCGGGAGAGGAACAAGGACCCAAUCUGGAACGUAGGCAUUUGAGUCCAACUUGAUGAAAGACGACUUGAAAACUACGUAGGAAAUGUCGAUGAUCAGAUUAGGAGAGGAAAUCAUAC
RNAcentral lists this long non-coding RNA (893 nucleotides) under Physcomitrium patens. Its description in RNAcentral is "long non-coding RNA (PPAT_LNC003761)". Lineage: Eukaryota; Viridiplantae; Streptophyta; Bryopsida; Funariales; Funariaceae. The record is from RNAcentral.